UACGGAGGGAGCUAGCGUUGUUCGGAAUUACUGGGCGUAAAGCGCGCGUAGGCGGCUUUGUAAGUUAGAGGUGAAAGCCCGGAGCUCAACUCCGGAACUGCCUUUAAAACUGCAUCGCUUGAAUCCAGGAGAGGUGAGUGGAAUUCCGAGUGUAGAGGUGAAAUUCGUAGAUAUUCGGAAGAACACCAGUGGCGAAGGCGGCUCACUGGACUGGUAUUGACGGCUGAG
Molecule: ribosomal RNA, 228 nt
Filed under: uncultured bacterium
Lineage: Bacteria
Description: partial 16S ribosomal RNA
Rfam family: Bacterial small subunit ribosomal RNA
Source: RNAcentral